UGGGUCAAAGAUAAAAAAUACGUAAGAAAUACUUGCUCAAUUUGUUUUGGAAUUAGUCUACAAUACCUUAUGUUAGGUACACAGCGCAUGAGUAUGCAGAAAUGCAUUUUAUCUACGGAAAAAGUCAUCAAAAUGCCAACGAAGCCGCUAAACUCUACAGGGAUCGAUUUUUUCUAAAAAACCGUUCUAACUGCAGAGUGUUUCCUGCUGUGCACAAAGCGUAUUGCGCAGGAAAAAUGCCAGGCGUUUCAGGAGGUCAAGGAAGAGCUCGUCAAUAUAAUGAUGAGGCCAAAUCCGCACUUAGUUGAAUUGAGUUGGGUAGAAAGCGGUCUUAUGGCAAGGCAGAAUCAAAAUGGACCUAACGAAUGGAAUAUACCCCUACGAAUAGGAAUCCUAUUAGUUUAAAUGCAGUUACCGUUAGGCACCUAGAGUUUUUUUGAUGUUCGCCAAGAUGCCAUAAUGCCUUGAUGCGGAUUGAUGCAGAUGCUAACUAAGAAGUCGAUAAUGCUAAUAAUAAGCGUCGUUUAGGAGGUAGGCCAAUUGUUGAUGUGUUG
This 554-nucleotide long non-coding RNA is filed under the name Anthonomus grandis grandis. Its description in RNAcentral is "uncharacterized LOC126745268". The record is from RNAcentral. Lineage: Eukaryota; Metazoa; Arthropoda; Insecta; Coleoptera; Curculionidae.